Molecule: unclassified non-coding RNA, 345 nt
Filed under: soil metagenome
Description: partial contains 5.8S ribosomal RNA, internal transcribed spacer 2, and large subunit ribosomal RNA
Rfam family: 5.8S ribosomal RNA (bases 1-119)
Source: RNAcentral
GAUGAAGAACGUAGCGAAAUGCGAUACGUAAUGUGAAUUGCAAAUUCAGUGAAUCAUCGAGUCUUUGAACGCACAUUGCGCCCCCUGGUAUUCCGGGGGGCAUGCCUGUCCGAGCGUCAUUGCUGCCCUCAAGCACGGCUUGUGUGCUGGGCCCCGUCCUCCGAUCCCGGGGGACGGGCCCGAAAGGCAGCGGCGGCACCGCGUCCGGUCCUCGAGCGUAUGGGGCUUUGUCACCCGCUCUGUAGGCCCGGCCGGCGCUUGCCGAUCAACCCAAAUUUUUAUCCAGGUUGACCUCGGAUCAGGUAGGGAUACCCGCUGAACUUAAGCAUAUCAAUAAGCGGAGGA